RNAcentral lists this long non-coding RNA (2826 nucleotides) under Sus scrofa (pig). RNAcentral's name for it is "lncRNA (ENSSSCG00000056605.1)". Lineage: Eukaryota; Metazoa; Chordata; Mammalia; Artiodactyla; Suidae. The record is from RNAcentral.
UUCCCUAGUCUUCCCCAUCUCACUAAUAGGUACUCUUGGUCUUUCUCAUCAUCAAACCCAACAUUUUCCCCAACCUUCCCUGUUUCACUGAACUAUAUCACUCUCUACCCAAUGCAUAGAGAGAAAAACAUAGGUGUUAUCCUGGAUUUCUUUUUUUCUCACCUGUUAGAUCCAAUUUACCACCACAUUCUUUCAGUUCUACUUACUAACCUGAAUCUGUCUGUACCUUUUUCUUUUCUUUUUUUUUUUUUUUUAGUUCUUUUUUUUGGUCUUUUUGCCCUUUUAUAGGGCUGCUCCCACAGCAUAUGGAGGCUCUCAGGCUAGGGGUCGAAUCAGAGCUGUGGCCACUGGCCUACGCCACAGCCACAGCAACACGGGAUCCGAGCUGUGUCUGCAAGCUACACCACAGCUCACGGCAACGCCAGAUCCUUAACCCACUGAGCAAGACCAGGGACCAAACCUGCAACCACUGUGCCACAAUGGGAACUCCCUGUCUGUCUUUUUUUUUUUUUUUUUUUGCUAUUUCUUUGGGCCGCUCCCGCGGCAUAUGGAGAUUCCCAGGCCAGGGGUCGAAUCGGAGCUGUAGCCACCGGCCUACGCCAGAGCCACAGCAACGCGGGAUCCGAGCCGCGUCUGCAACCUACACCACAGCUCACGGCAAAGCCGGAUCGUUAACCCACUGAGCAAGGGCAGGGACCGAACCCGCAACCCCAUGGUUCCUAGUCGGAUUCGUUAACCACUGCACCACGACGGGAACUCCGGAACUCCCUGUCUGUACCUUUCUAUCUCUACCACCUCUCUCAUCUGGACUACUGAAAGGCUUCUAAUGUAGCUCCUUCUUUCUUUUGACCUGCUAUAGUCUCUAAUCUGCAUAGCAACCACAGUGGCCAUUUUAAUACACAAAUGGUAGCACUUCGUUUGCUAAUAGAAAAAUCUCCUUCAAUGGCUUUCCUUGUACUUGGAUUAAAAACCGUGGCUGAACUGACCCUUGCUUGCCUUUCCAGGACUCUCCUCCUGGCCCCCUAAGCUUCAGCUACACUUUUUUUCUGUUCCUAUAAAUCUGUGAUCCUACUUUCUGUCUUAAGGUCUUCUCAUUUACUGUUCCCUGCUCCCAAAUGAGCGACUCCCCCUGCCUGCCUCAUCGGCUUCUUAAUGUCAUUCACAUUCCAGGAUGCCUCCCUCCUUCAUUGAUCACCCAGUCACUCCUGGAUCAUCCUAUUCCAGUCCUCUGCAAUAGUGCUCACCACUGCUGCUGUUCUUGUUUUCUUCUACUUAAAAAGUAAAGCCUGUUGGAACAGGAACAUUGUCCUGUUCUCACUGCUAUAUUCCCAGUACUACAGAAAAUAAAUAUUUAUUGAAAUAUUUUGGAUCAUAUUAUCAUAGUGCAUGAAUAUUUGGGACUACACUAAGUACUAUGAGAAUAUUUAAGCUAUUUGGAUUUAAAAACACAGAGGGGCUUAGUUGACACCUUGAAGAGUGAGAAGAGUCCAAAGCAAGUAAAAUGGUGAAUGGGGAAAAGUCUAGAGUUACUGAUGAUUUUAUAAUGUCAUAUAUAGUAAAUAAAAGUAACUUCUAAAUAUUCCAAGGAAAUGAAUCAUAAAUUGUUUCAUUCAGGGAGUUUGGGAUGGGGAGAGUGUUGCAUUAGUUCUGUAACAUCCUUUAGGAUUUUGAAUGGUUAACUCUAGCUCAAAAAGUACAAAAGUAUAUUUUACUUGUUUAUUUUUUUUAUCUUUUUAGGGCUGCACCUACAGCAUAUGGAGAUUCCAGGCUAGGGGUCCAAUUGGAGCUGUAGCCUCUGGCCUACGCCAGAGCCACAGCAACAUGGGAUCCAAGCUGCAUCUGCGACCUACACCACAGCUCACAGAAAUACUGGAUCCUUAACCCACUGAGCAAGGCCAGGGAUCGAACCCACAUCAUCAUGGAUGGUAGUCGGGUUUGUUAAACCGCUGAGCCACAAAGGGAACUCGACAACUGCCAGGAGGUGUUUAGUAGUUGAAGAGGCAGAACUAGGCAGUUAGAGGAUAAAUCAGACAGCAAGUAGCCAGAAGAAUCAGGAAAAAAUUUGGAAGAAACCAGGUAAAUGAAAGAAUUGUCCAGGAUUUAUAGCAAAGAAUAAAUGUUGGUCAACUUCUCCUGCCUUUGUUCAGCUCAUCCUAGUGAUUGAGAGCUAAUCUCAAAGUUCCCUAGGCCUACCAGUGGUAAUACAAAGCAGCUGGUAGAUUAUGAGUGUAAGAUUUGGUGGAAAGAAGGACUUAAGUGAGGGUGGAGCAGACGUAUUUCUGGGGUAGAAGCUUUUGUUUGGUAGAGAGGAUCAGAUGUUCUUAGAUCCAACACAGAUCAUUGAUCAUUUAGUCCAUUGUCUCCCCUGAUUUUCACACAAAAGAUCUCUUGAAUUGUUUUUCCAUUGUGAAGCUGAUAUUACAAAGAUAUUUUUCCUCAAAACCCUGAAUUAUUAAUAAUUUGUCUCCUCAGGAGUUUCCGUCGUGGCUCAGUGGUUAAUGAAACCAACUAGGACCCUUGAGGUUGCAGGUUCAAUCCCUGGCCUUGCUCAGUGGGUUAAGGAUCCGGCAUUGCCCUGAGCUGUGGCUCGGAUACCGUGUUGCUGUGGCUUUGGAGUAGGCUGGUGGCUACAACUUCGAUUAGACCCUUAGCCUGGGAACCUCCAUAUGCUGCAGGAAGCGGCCCUAGAAAAGCCAAAAAGCCAAAAGCCAAAAAAAUAAAAAAUAAAUAAUAAUAAUAAUAAUAAUUUGUCUCCUCAUUUUUUUAACCAAGGAAUGUAAUUAGAGUAGCAUAUGCUAUCUGUACUGAAUUGACAUAAGUUCAAUU